CGAGCCCGUUGGACGGCCGCGCUCUCCCUGUUCCAGGGAAGGUGAGGAAAGUCCGGACUCCAUAGGGCAUGAUGCUGGGUAACUCCCAGGCGGGGCAACCCGACGGAAAGUGCAGCAGAGAGCAGACCGCCGAUGGUCGCAGGACACAGGCAAGGGUGAAACGGUGGGGUAAGAGCCCACCAGCGUCCCCGGUGACGGGGACGGCUCGGCAAACCCCAUCAGGAGCAAGGCCAAGCAGGGAUUCGACUGCCCGUCGUAGAUCCCGGGUAGGCCGCAUGAGCGCCCUGGUGACAGAGCGCCAAGAUGGAUGGUCGUCCUCGACAGAAUCCGGCUUACAGACGGGCUCGCCCC
Molecule: RNase P RNA, 351 nt
Filed under: Acidimicrobiia bacterium
Lineage: Bacteria; Bacillati; Actinomycetota; Acidimicrobiia
Description: RNase P RNA component class A
Rfam family: Bacterial RNase P class A
About the family: Ribonuclease P (RNase P) is a ubiquitous endoribonuclease, found in archaea, bacteria and eukarya as well as chloroplasts and mitochondria. Its best characterised activity is the generation of mature 5'-ends of tRNAs by cleaving the 5'-leader elements of precursor-tRNAs.
Source: RNAcentral